This 495-nucleotide ribosomal RNA is filed under the name uncultured bacterium. RNAcentral describes it as "partial 16S ribosomal RNA". It matches the Rfam family "Bacterial small subunit ribosomal RNA", at positions 28 to 507 of the family's 1533-position model. The record is from RNAcentral.
GACGAACGCUGGCGGCGUGCCUAAUACAUGCAAGUAGAACGCUGAAGGAGGAGCUUGCUUCUCUGGAUGAGUUGCGAACGGGUGAGUAACGCGUAGGUAACCUGCCUGGUAGCGGGGGAUAACUAUUGGAAACGAUAGCUAAUACCGCAUAAUAGCAGUUGUUGCAUGACAACUGUUUGAAAGGUGCAAUUGCACCACUACCAGAUGGACCUGCGUUGUAUUAGCUAGUUGGUGGGGUAACGGCUCACCAAGGCGACGAUACAUAGCCGACCUGAGAGGGUGAUCGGCCACACUGGGACGGAGACACGGCCCAGACUCCUACGGGAGGCAGCAGUAGGGAAUCUUCGGCAAUGGACGGAAGUCUGACCGAGCAACGCCGCGUGAGUGAAGAAGGUUGUCGGAUCGUAAAGCUCUGUUGUAAGAGAAGAACGAGUGUGAGAGUGGAAAGUUCACACUGUGACGGUAUCUUACCAGAAAGGGACGGCUAACUACGUG